Molecule: ribosomal RNA, 407 nt
Filed under: uncultured bacterium
Lineage: Bacteria
Description: partial 16S ribosomal RNA
Rfam family: Bacterial small subunit ribosomal RNA
Source: RNAcentral
AUUGAACGCUGGCGGCAGGCCUAAUACAUGCAAGUAGGACGCAGUUGCGAACGGGUGAGUAACGCGUCGGUAACUGCCUAUUAGAGGGGGAUAACUCUUGGAAACGAUAGCUAAUACCGCAUACUAGUAUAUGGACCUGCGUUGUAUUAGCUAGUAGGUAGGGUAAUGGCCUACCUAGGCGACGAUAAAUAGCCGACCUGAGAGGGGGAUCGGCCACACUGGGACUGAGACACGGCCCAGACUCCGACGGGAGGCAGCAGUAGGGAAUCUUCGGCAAUGGGGGGAAGCCUGACCGAGCAACGCCGCGUGAGUGAAGAAGGUUUUCGGAUCGUAAAGCUCUGUUGUUAGGGAAGCGGUACUUAAACAGAAAGGGACGGCUAACUACGUGCCAGCAGCCGCGGUAAUAC